UCCUGAGUUGACUCAACAGUGUAG
Molecule: non-coding RNA, 24 nt
Filed under: Cricetulus griseus (Chinese hamster)
Lineage: Eukaryota; Metazoa; Chordata; Mammalia; Rodentia; Cricetidae
Source: RNAcentral